Molecule: long non-coding RNA, 1825 nt
Filed under: Salvia miltiorrhiza (redroot sage)
Lineage: Eukaryota; Viridiplantae; Streptophyta; Magnoliopsida; Lamiales; Lamiaceae
Description: long non-coding RNA (SMIL_LNC002325)
Source: RNAcentral
AGCCACUUAAUUUCUCUUUUCCUUUUUCAGCCACAUGAUUUUACUUAAAAAUCUUCAGCCACAAAUUUAAUUUCGUGCAGCCCAAGAAUUGAGUACUAUUUAAACACAAAUCACCCGAAUUUGUAUACCAGCAAUUUACUCUUCAUCUGUUCACUUCACCAUAUAAACUCAAUCUGCCAUUUCUCACUGCACAUCAUCAAUCGGUAAUUUUAAUAUUUUCUGUAAGUUUAAAUACUCAUAUGCAAUAAUUUCUGUUUUCUUUGUAAAUUCCCAAAUUUUCAAAAGAAUCAAAAGCCCUACAAUCGAAGAAUAACAUUUUCACUAAUUUACAACAAAUUUAAAAUAGAGAAGAAAUAGAAGAGGUGGAAAGAGGAAUAGGGACAGAGAAGAGAGGAGUCGGCGCCGUGCGCUGCAUGCGCCACGGCGGCCGGCGGAGAGAAGCCGGGGACGGCUGGCGAUGAAGAAGAAGUACAGCAGCAGCAGCAGCGCCGGAUCUGGGACGGAGGGAGGCGGGCCUGAUCAACCGCUACUCUCUGUCGCGGAACGGCGAGGGUGGCCGCGCUGUCGGCUGGAGAGAGAGAGAAAGGUGAGGGCGGUGUUGGGCAGGAGCAGGCGACGGCUGGCGGAGGAUAAGGCCGGAGGAGGAGUCAGCCGCGGCUUGGAGUGGCGAGGAGAAGAGCAGAAGGGGGAGAGAAGUCGAUGGAGAGGGGUUAAGGAGAGGACAGGGGGAGGCAGAGUCGCCGGCCUACGACGGCGGCGUGCCGUCUGUGGCGGCAGCAGGAGGCUGAGAAGGGAGAAGGGAGAGGGGUGAGGGGAGAGCGGCUGAGAGAGAGAAGGAGUGAGGAGCGUGGUGCGUGAGUUAUGUGGGUGUGUUGGAGAAUGAGAGUUAAAGUAGGGGAAAUGGGGAAAUGAAAUGGGCUUUGGGCUUAGUUUGGUUUUAAAUUGAAUGGGCUUUAAUUGGGGCUUAAUUUUAUUAGAUGAUUGGGCUAUAAUUUGAUUAACUAUUGCACUAAAUUAUUUUUAUCAAAAGGCUUGCAUUUGCAUAUUAUUUUACAAAGAAUGUCAUAUUUGGACUUGUAUUAUUAAUUUAAAUUUAGUUUUAAUUAAAUUUUGAGCCCAAAUAUUUUUAUAAGAAAAGCUCUUUUAUAAUCUAUUAGACCAAUUAUUUUCCAAAUGAUUUUAUGAUAAUAAAUUCUUAAGAUUUAAACUACUAUUAUUAUUUUUAAAGUUCAAUUAGGCCCUUAUAUUUAUUAUUUGAAUUUAUCUGACUAGGUGCGGCGCGACUAGGACGUUACUUUUAAUUGAAUUACUCAAGUUAGCAUUCAAGUUGAAGUUCAAGUUCAAAAUUCAGGUGUGGGGAAUUUAUUCAGUACAUGCCGUGGUUAAUUCUUGUCCAUUUUAAUAUUAUGUGUUUACCAUAUGUGAGUUGCAUUAAAUUCAGUUAUAUCGCUAGGGGCCCGCUCAAUGGGUCCAGGACUUCACCGUCCUUGGUAUGCCACAAUGCGAUUUCAUGUUACAGUUAUGGUUGCAACCAGUCGCCAGGGGCCGGCUCAAUCGGUCCAGGACGGAAAGGUCCUUGGUAUGCCACCGUGCGACUUUCAGUUACGAAUGUAUUGAUCAUAUGUGAUUCUCAUUUUAUUAACGUGGACAAUGAUUGCAUGUUCCCACACUGAGUGUACCCUGUAUGCUCAUCCCAUACUUAACAUUUUCAGGUUUUAAAGGCCGGAGGCGCGUGGAAGGUCGAAUGGCGAAUCAAAUAUUUUGAAUUUAGUUUUACUUAAAAAUGUUAUUUUGAGUAAAGUAUGUUUAAAUAAAUAUUUAUUUC